This 461-nucleotide ribosomal RNA is filed under the name Abiotrophia defectiva. RNAcentral's name for it is "bacterial SSU rRNA". It matches the Rfam family "Bacterial small subunit ribosomal RNA", at positions 28 to 471 of the family's 1533-position model. The record is from RNAcentral. Lineage: Bacteria; Bacillati; Bacillota; Bacilli; Lactobacillales; Aerococcaceae.
GACGAACGCUGGCGGCGUGCCUAAUACAUGCAAGUCGAACGAACCGCGACUAAGUGCUUGCACUAAGUCAAGGUGAGUGGCGAACGGGUGAGUAACACGUGGGUAACCUACCUCAUAGUGGGGGAUAACAGUCGGAAACGACUGCUAAUACCGCAUAGGACAUGGAAUCACAUGAUUCCGUGAGGAAAGGUGGCGCAAGCUAUCGCUAAGAGAUGGACCCGCGGUGCAUUAGCUAGUUGGUAGGGUAAAGGCCUACCAAGGCGAUGAUGCAUAGCCGACCUGAGAGGGUGAUCGGCCACAUUGGGACUGAGACACGGCCCAAACUCCUACGGGAGGCAGCAGUAGGGAAUCUUCCGCAAUGGACGCAAGUCUGACGGAGCAACGCCGCGUGAGUGAAGAAGGUCUUCGGAUCGUAAAGCUCUGUUGUUAGAGAAGAACAGCGCAUAGAGUAAACUGUUAUG